CCAGGAUUGUUAUCUGUCCCAACUCCUGUAUUUAUCAAGAAAAUAUGGAUGCCUUCAUUACAGCACCAGAAACUAGAAUACACUCUGACAAAAGCAGACAGUCUAUCUGAAAAGACUGAACACAUCUCUUCUGGAGGAAAAUGAUUGCCCAGAGCUAAUAUUAUAGCUGAUAUAAAAUGAAUUAGAACAUCUCAAGUAAAUUAGACAUUCAAGGAAAGAGUACAACAAGAAAAAGUGACUUAUUCAGAUCCAUAUCUCUGCUUGCUUUCUGAGGCAUUUCUUGCAAUAAGACUCUGAUUUAUCUCGGAGAUGAGAGGUGCGUGUUGCUAUGUGGCAAUCAACAUCACUAUGUGGACAAUUUUACAUUUGAAAGCAUUUCCUUGGAGCUGUUUGCGUUUAGAAGAGAGUGUUCAGGACUGUCUACUGGUGGAAGAUCUGGCCUGUGACCAAAUAACUCCAGCUUGCUAUGGGAGACUGGGGGAUGACACCAUUGCAUCCUGUGAAGACAAGAUACAAGUUGGCGCCUCAUGCUCCCUCUUAUCUGCUAGCAAGGUCUGGAAGAUGGGAACAAAAGGAGUUCCUGCUGAGAUCCAAAAGCCAGAAGAUGUCAUUCCAAAGAGAGCUGACUCAACCACUUUGGAUGUAUAAAUCAGUCUGUACUACCAUUGAAAAGUUGUCGUCAUCAACGGAACAAUGCCCAACAAUCCCCCACUACUGAAGAUCAAUGACUGAACUAUUUAAUGUCCACAUGGAAGGGCUUUAAAACAGAUAGAUGCAAGUACACACUUUUCAAAGUUUUACAUGCAUUUGAUUUCACUCUUCCUGUUGAAAAAACUUUCCCAAACUCAGCUCUAGCUACCAGUAACAAAAUUCCCAACUAAGAGCUCUCAUAUGCUAAUCUCAGUUCAGCAUGCUUGGUACCAUACCUCAAGAAAUAAAUGACUGAGGGGAUAGCAACAAUGAAGGUAUUCCUCUGAAGGACUUGGAGAACUCAACAGGAAAAUUCAUCAGAAAUAUCCUGAGAUAUGUAAAGCUAAGUCUAUUUCGUUAAGUAUUUAGAUCUUAACAGAUAUCUACCACUUCAGACAGGAAUUCUAAUCCAUCAGACCACAGGAUAUUUGAAAGUCAGACUGCUGUUAUCUGGUAUCUUUUUUUAUAUAGAGUACUUAAUUACUGGGACAUAGACAAUGACUCCAUUGCUGGCAGCUAGAUCUGUCUUCUUUCUAGUCCUGAUUAAAUGUCUGUAUGUUGGUACAGAACAGAAACGCAUUAGCAGAACAGAUGCAAUAGUGGUGUAUACACUAUCAAAUUGUUAAAUUUACUCUUUCACUUUGAGGCCCAGUGUCAGAAUUGUUAAAAGUAUCUUUCUUUGCUCCUUGAUUUCACUAUGGAUCCGCUUACCUACUUCAUAUCUUUUAUUUGACUGUGGAACACGGGAUAAUUAUGUAUAUAUAAUUCACAGUAUAUGUGGAUGCUGAUUAGUCCGCACAGUAUAGUCAAGGGACUGUAUCUCUGCAGCUCAUUUAAAAAAAAAAAAAAAAGACAAUAGGAACAAAUAUUUUUAAAAAUAUUCUAGAAGAUCUGUUAUAACUUAUUGUAUGAAUGUUAGUCCAUUAGAACAAAAGAAAACAGGAGAUUUUCUUCAGAUUUCUU
Long non-coding RNA from Gallus gallus (chicken), 1653 nucleotides. The record is from Ensembl. Lineage: Eukaryota; Metazoa; Chordata; Aves; Galliformes; Phasianidae.